This 393-nucleotide ribosomal RNA is filed under the name uncultured Thermus sp. RNAcentral's name for it is "bacterial SSU rRNA". It matches the Rfam family "Bacterial small subunit ribosomal RNA", at positions 994 to 1382 of the family's 1533-position model. The record is from RNAcentral. Lineage: Bacteria; Thermotogati; Deinococcota; Deinococci; Thermales; Thermaceae.
AACCCGGGUGAAAGCCUGGGUGCCCCGCGAGGGAGCCCUAGCACAGGUGCUGCAUGGCCGUCGUCAGCUCGUGCCGUGAGGUGUUGGGUUAAGUCCCGCAACGAGCGCAACCCCCGCCGUUAGUUGCCAGCGGUUCGGCCGGGCACUCUAACGGGACUGCCCGCGAAAAGCGGGAGGAAGGAGGGGACGACGUCUGGUCAGCAUGGGCCCUUACGGCCUGGGCGACACACGUGCUACAAUGCCCACUACAAAGCGAUGCCACCCGGCAACGGGGAGCUAAUCGCAAAAAGGUGGGCCCAGUUCGGAUUGGGGUCUGCAACCCGACCCCAUGAAGCCGGAAUCGCUAGUAAUCGCGGAUCAGCCAUGCCGCGGUGAAUACGUUCCCGGGCCCUU